This 290-nucleotide non-coding RNA is filed under the name Pan troglodytes (chimpanzee). The record is from RNAcentral. RNAcentral also lists the same sequence under 1 other name. Lineage: Eukaryota; Metazoa; Chordata; Mammalia; Primates; Hominidae.
GGGCCAUGCCAGCAUAGUAGAGGUUUUACUUAAGAUUGCUAUGCAGAACCAAAUCAACACAAACCCAGAGAGUCCUGACACUGUGACAAUACAUGCUGCAACACCACAGUUUAUCAUUGGACCUGGAGGGGUGGUGAACCUAACAGGUCUGGUAUCUUCAGAAAAUUCAUCCAAGGCAACAGGUAUUGAGAUGCAUAUAGGAUAGGCUUUGGGAUUUUAUGCUUUAGUAGGUAUUCAUCCUUGUAAGAAAGGACGGUUGGAGAAUGAGGGUAAGAUUCUAUCAGCCACCU